ACUCGGGUAGCUCAGUGGAUAGAGCAAGUUCCUGCUAAGAACUAGGUCGUGGGUUCGAGUCCCACCCCGAGGACCA
Molecule: transfer RNA, 76 nt
Filed under: Candidatus Saccharimonadota bacterium
Lineage: Bacteria; Candidatus Saccharimonadota
Description: tRNA-Ser
Rfam family: tRNA
About the family: Transfer RNA (tRNA) molecules are approximately 80 nucleotides in length. Their secondary structure includes four short double-helical elements and three loops (D, anti-codon, and T loops).
Source: RNAcentral